UGGGUCACAGGGAAAAAAAAACACGGGUCUGUCCAUGGCUAUACAAGAAAGAGUCCAGCCCAAGGCCACUCCAUCAUCUCUUCCACUCAGGAUUCUUCUCUCUUCCAGCUUUCCUCACGCUUGCCCAUCUCUCAUCUCUCUCUCACCUCAUCCUGAUUCAGGAGGAUUCAGUAUUUGUAAGGUUUCUAUUAGUCUACAAAGGGGUUAAAAUCUUCAACUCUGCCUGCCCAAGGACUCCCACAUCUGCCGGGCACCUUCUCUCGACGCAUCCCCCGCUUCUGGCCGGCUGAGUUGCCAGCACAAUCUCUGUCCCUCUCUCCGGGGGGGCUGCCCAGACAUCCCAAGUCUCUUCCACCCCUGCAUGUUCUCCUCCACCUCUGCACCUUUUGGGGCUCCCGGCCUCCUCCCUGUCAUGGCCUCCCCCUCCCCCACCCAGACGCAGCUGGGCAGGGGAGAGGCCAGACUCUACUCACCAACGCCGGGUUCCCAAAGAGGAAGUUCUCUGGGAAUCUCCUGCUUUUAACCCCCGUGUGUUCUCAGAGGCGUAUCCAAACCCUUAGUGGCCACCUUAAAUGCCAAUUUUGAAUUUGGCCCCUGAUUGGCCCGACUUAGACCUUUCCAAAAACACAUUUCCGGGCCAAACCACGACACUUCCUCACCCUGUUUUAUAGACAGCACGACACCAGACAGUAUUGGAUACCCCUUUGAUCAGCUGGGGUCAGCUGUCCUGGCUGUGCACCCUCCCAGCUUCUGUUGUGCACCACCUGCUCAGUGGUGAGGGGCUGUGAAAGGCAAAAAGACCUUGACUCUGUAGAAGCACUGCUCAGCAAUAAUCAAAAUGUCUCUCCAUUACCAACUCUGUUUCCAGCACAAAUCCAAAACACAGCCCUAGAGCAGAUACUAUGAAGAAAGUUAACUCUUUUCCAGCCAAAACCAUUAUGGACCAGUUCGAGUAAGCAAGCCAGGCCUUGUUAUCCCACCUGACUUUCGUCUCACAACAUCCAUUCUCAUAGGACUUACUGAACAUAUGGAGAGAAUUCUUACCAUUUGGUACUAUGACUCUACCACUCAAAAGUAGCCAGAAAAGAAACAUUCCACACAGGAAGACAAACUCAUGCCCACUCCAAGAAUCUGGUUCAGUUACAGGUACAAGGAAAGAAAGAGAUGAGAGAAAAAGAUCACAGAUAUGGAAUACAUUACCUCUAAAGUUAAAAUUCAGAUUUUUUUCAGAAAUAAAUAGAUAUGUCAGAUAUUUAAAAAAAAUAAAUAUUUUAUCUCUGCCUCAAUAAAGCCAUACUAAGAGUACAUUAAAUUUAAAACUGAGAUUGCUAAGGUGAUUCAUAUCCUUAAUAAACAAAUUGAAGAUCCCUAGCAGAAUUCUUCUAUGUUUUUUUAAAAAAGGUAUGCUUUUAUGUGUGAAUGUGACAUAUUUUCAAUGUACUUUCAGGUAUUUUUUUUAAUACUAACAAAUAUGUAAUGUCUAAUACUACUUGUAUUCUAAUACCUUUUCUUGUAUUUCAGCUCUUCACCUCAUAUCUAAUGAUCUUGGACAAAACCCCUAUAUUAUCUCACAGAAGUUCCAAUCAAAGUCUUUAAUUAUUAGUAUUUUUUUCAGAUCAAUUUUAUUCUAACAAAAUCUGGAAUACCUUAUGUGACAGUGAAAGUGAAAAACAAAAGGAGCACACAGUAUAACAGUUAAAGGCCCAGUGACAUCUGAAGUACCCUGCCGUAUAUGAGAUAUUCAAUGAAGGUCUAACAGGUAUGAAUCAAAACCUAUAAGAGUCUGGUGAGCCCUUGCGGAGGCAGCUGAACAACAGAUGGGAGACUUAGGCAUCUAACAGGAUUGAAUCAAGUCAGUUCAGUUAUGCUCUAAAGCAACACUUGGUACAUGUAGAAAAUGUGUCAGUAGCUUCACUGUAGUAGCCCUGAAAAUUUUAAGAAAAAUUCGAGGUUUUUUUAAGUACAAAAUGCUUUUAGUUCCCGCUCAGUACAGCUGAAGUAAAUUAAGAUCUUAUCACUAUAUGCAUUCUUUUUAAACAUAUAAUUUCAUAUGUAAUUUCAGUAUAUUUAGUAUAUCAUUCAUAUAUGUGAUCCCUGUACUUAUGAACUUAUGUAAAAUAAAUGAAUAGGGAGCUGCUCUGUUGCCAGGAUAAAUCACCUAUAUUAAUAUGCUGAAUGACUACCUAAGCAUUAAAUAUAACCAGAAUACUACUAAAUCGAUUCUUGAUGUAAUUCUGAGACUCAAUAUGGUUUUUGAUGUAUCAACCAGGUCUUUGUUAUAUUCUGGAAAACAAAAAUAUUCUAGGAACUCAAAGUACAAAUGGAAUAAGUUUGCUGUCCUUCCUUUAAAGCAUUACAAGAAAGUGUAAUGCCAGAAAAGAUGUCAGUGGAACUGUGAAGACUUUCUAAAAAGUUUUGAAAAGAAUCUGUAUUAUGAGACAAACAAACUCCUACUACAAGAGUAGUUUGCAUGGUAAAUCUGGUGGAAUGAACAUAUUGUUGAGUAAUUGUAGUAAAUCAUGUGUGUAAUAAAUCACGUGUGUAAUAAAUCAUCAAUUGUAGUAAAACAGAUUGUAUUGCAGUAAAUCAUCAGGUGUAAGUAGUAGCCAUGUACUGAAAGUAUGAAGGUAAUGCUAUUCAAAGCAAAGCAUGCUGAAGUAGAUAUGUGACUUCUUAUACAAGUUAUCGGCCUUUGCAUAUUGUGUUAUUAUUCACAUGAUUUUUUUAGGGUUUUUUUUUAGAUUCACUUUACAUUUUGCUUGCAGCUGUCAUAAAACAUAAAGCAUUAGCAACCUCCUUACCUAUGUAAUAGGAGCUGUCAGAGACAGCACCCUUCAGCAACCCUUCAUUUUACCUAGGCAGUUUUAAAUAAAAUAAAAAGCAUAAAUCCUAGUAGAAUUUUCAUCCCAGUUCCCUCCAUCCUUAGAAGUUUUACUAUGAAUAUUCUUGAUCUCUACCCCUAUGCUCAGCUUCUAUUCUCUAUUCAGUGCUUUUAAGCAGUCUUUCUGCUUCUAGAAGGAUAUGAAGAGGUGAACAUAAACCACAUUAUCAACCAAAAACCUUACCUGAUUAGAAUAAUAUUAGUAAAGUGCUAUUACUUACUUUUUCUUUUUGUAAGAAUUUU
This is a long non-coding RNA of Passer domesticus (house sparrow), 3124 nucleotides long. RefSeq lists it as uncharacterized. The transcript has 4 exons. Lineage: Eukaryota; Metazoa; Chordata; Aves; Passeriformes; Passeridae. The record is from RefSeq and is a predicted model, not a curated record.